UUAAGCUAAUAAGAGCGCAGGGAGGAUGCCUUGGCAUCAGGAGCCGAAGAAGGACGUGGUAAGCUGCGAAAAGCUACGGGGAUUGGCAAGCACGAUAUGAUCCGUAGAUGUCCGAAUGGAGCAAUCCGCAUGGAGUCAAGUCCAUGUAUCAUAUACUGAAUAAAUAGGUAUAUGAGGGGAACCGCCCGAACUGAAACAUCUAAGUAGGGCGAGGAAAAGAAAUCAACCGAGAUUCUGUGAGUAGUGGCGAGCGAAAGCGGAAGAGGCUAAACCGAGAGGAGCAAUCCUUUCGGGGUUUAGGACUGCAUUUAGUACAAUGAUUGUUAACCGAACAGCAUGGGAAGGCUGAUCAAAGAAGGUGAGAAUCCUGUAGGUGAAAACGAAAGUUGACGAGCAGUAUCCAAAGUACCGCGGGGCACGUGAAAUCCCGUGGGAAGAUGGGGGGACCAUCCUCCAAGCCUAAAUACUACCUGAUGACCGAUAGCGAAUAGUACUGUGAAGGAAAGGUGAAAAGCACCCCGGGAGGGGAGUGAAAGAGAACCUGAAACCCUGUGCUUACAAGCACUUAGAGCACGUCAAAGUGUGAUAAGGUACCUAUUGUAGAAUGGUCCGGCGAGUUAUUGUAUGCAGCGAGGUUAAGUAGUUCAGCUACGGAGCCGAAGUGAGAGCGAGUGUUAACAGCACGUUCAGUUGCAUGCAAUAGACCCGAAACCGGGUGACCUAUCCAUGUCCAGGAUGAAGUGAGGGUAAAACCUCAUGGAGGUCCGAACCCACUCCCGUUGAAAUGGUAGGGGAUGAGGUGUGGAUAGCGGAGAAAUUCCAAUCGAACCCGGAUAUAGCUGGUUCUCCCCGAAAUAGUUUUAGGACUAGCCUCGUGAUCAAGAUUAUCGGAGGUAAAGCACUGAAUGGCCUAGGGGUCGAGAGAUUACCGAAGCCUAUCAAACUCUGAAUGCCGAAUAAUCAUGCACGGGAGUCAGACUGUGUGAGAUAAGUUUCAUAGUCGAAAGGGAAACAGCCCAGACCUACAGCUAAGGUCCCAAAGUACGUUUAAGUGGAAAACGAUGUGAAAUUGCGUAGACAACCAGGAUGUUGGCUUAGAAGCAGCCAUACAUUAAAAGAGUGCGUAAUAGCUCACUGGUCGAGUGACUUUGCGCGGAAAAUUUAACGGGGCUAAAACGUACACCGAAGCUUAGGCUUGCAACUAUGUUGCAGGGGUAGGGGAGCGUUGAAUGAGGGGUGAAGUCGUAGCGAAAGCGACGGUGGACUUCAUUCAAGUGAGAAUGCCGGAAUGAGUAGCGAGAAUUAUGUGAGAAUCAUAAUGGCCGAAAGCCUAAGGUUUUUGGAGGAAGGUUCGUCCGCUCCAAGUAAGUCGGAAGCUAAGGUGAGGCUGAAAAGCGUAGCCGAUGCACAAACGGUUGAAAUUCCGUUACCACAGAAAGAUUUAAACUAAGGGACACUUUUGAAGAGCUGAUGCCGGGUGUUGGUUACCCCGGUCGUAAGGGAACGAAAUUAAGUAGUGAAGUCAGCGUGGAUGAAGGCGAGAAAAGCUUAGUGUAUAUCUUAUGUGUCCGUACCGCAAACCGACACAGGUAGGUAGGAAGAGGAUUCUAAGGCCAACGGGAGAAGGGUAGUUAAGGAACUCGGCAAAUUGACCCCGUAACUUCGGGAUAAGGGGCGGUGCGUAAGCACCCGCAGUGAAUAGGUCCAGGCGACUGUUUAUCAAAAACACAGCUCUCUGCUAAAUCGAAAGAUGACGUAUAGGGGGUGACACCUGCCCGGUGCUGGAAGGUUAAGAGGAGGAGUGCAAGCUCCGAAUUGAAGCCCCAGUAAACGGCGGCCGUAACUAUAACGGUCCUAAGGUAGCGAAAUUCCUUGUCGGGUAAGUUCCGACCCGCACGAAUGGUGUAACGAUCUGGACGCUGUCUCAACUGCCCACCCGGCGAAAUUGUAGUACCGGUGAAGAUGC
RNAcentral lists this ribosomal RNA (1966 nucleotides) under Cyclospora cayetanensis. RNAcentral's name for it is "bacterial LSU rRNA". It matches the Rfam family "Bacterial large subunit ribosomal RNA", at positions 3 to 2062 of the family's 2925-position model. Lineage: Eukaryota; Apicomplexa; Conoidasida; Eucoccidiorida; Eimeriidae. The record is from RNAcentral.